GAGGCUGUAGUUUAAUAAGAACGUCGUACUGUAAAUAUGGAGGUAUCUGUCCAUAGAUCAGCCUCU
Molecule: transfer RNA, 66 nt
Filed under: Pinctada albina
Lineage: Eukaryota; Metazoa; Mollusca; Bivalvia; Pterioida; Pteriidae
Description: tRNA-Tyr
Rfam family: tRNA
About the family: Transfer RNA (tRNA) molecules are approximately 80 nucleotides in length. Their secondary structure includes four short double-helical elements and three loops (D, anti-codon, and T loops).
Source: RNAcentral